This 465-nucleotide ribosomal RNA is filed under the name Vreelandella stevensii. RNAcentral's name for it is "partial 16S ribosomal RNA". It matches the Rfam family "Bacterial small subunit ribosomal RNA", at positions 338 to 795 of the family's 1533-position model. Lineage: Bacteria; Pseudomonadati; Pseudomonadota; Gammaproteobacteria; Oceanospirillales; Halomonadaceae. The record is from RNAcentral.
CCUACGGGGGGCAGCAGUGGGGAAUAUUGGACAAUGGGCGAAAGCCUGAUCCAGCCAUGCCGCGUGUGUGAAGAAGGCCUUCGGGUUGUAAAGCACUUUCAGUGGGGAAGAAAGCCUUGGGGCUAAUACCCUCGAGGAAGGACAUCACCCACAGAAGAAGCACCGGCUAACUCCGUGCCAGCAGCCGCGGUAAUACGGAGGGUGCGAGCGUUAAUCGGAAUGACUGGGCGUAAAGCGCGCGUAGGCGGUCUGAUAAGCCGGUUGUGAAAGCCCCGGGCUCAACCUGGGAACGGCAUCCGGAACUGUCAGGCUAGAGUGCAGGAGAGGAAGGUAGAAUUCCCGGUGUAGCGGUGAAAUGCGUAGAGAUCGGGAGGAAUACCAGUGGCGAAGGCGGCCUUCUGGACUGACACUGACGCUGAGGUGCGAAAGCGUGGGUAGCAAACAGGAUUAGAUACCCGUGUAGUC